AGUGAACGCUGGCGGUAGGCCUAACACAUGCAAGUCGAACGGCAGCACAGGAGAGCUUGCUCUCUAGGUGGCGAGUGGCGGACGGGUGAGGAAUACAUCGGAAUCUGCCCAGUCGUGGGGGAUAACGUAGGGAAACUUACGCUAAUACCGCAUACGACCUUCGGGUGAAAGAGGGGGAUCGCAAGACCUCUCGCGAUUGGAUGAGCCGAUGUCGGAUUAGCUAGUUAGCGGGGUAAUGGCCCACCAAGGCGACGAUCCGUAGCUGGUCUGAGAGGAUGAUCAGCCACACUGGAACUGAGACACGGUCCAGACUCCUACGGGAGGCAGCAGUGGGGAAUAUUGGACAAUGGGCGCAAGCCUGAUCCAGCCAUACCGCGUGGGUGAAGAAGGCCUUCGGGUUGUAAAGCCCUUUUGUUGGGAAAGAAAUCUUUCAGGCUAAUACCCUGGGAGGAUGACGGUACCCAAAGAAUAAGCACCGGCUAACUUCAUG
Molecule: ribosomal RNA, 490 nt
Filed under: uncultured bacterium
Lineage: Bacteria
Description: partial 16S ribosomal RNA
Rfam family: Bacterial small subunit ribosomal RNA
Source: RNAcentral